AGAGGAGUGGCAGAGCGGUCGAAUGCGGCGGUCUUGAAAACCGUUGAACCUUUGCGGGUUCCGGGGGUUCGAAUCCCUCCUCCUCUGCGA
Molecule: transfer RNA, 90 nt
Filed under: Flammeovirgaceae bacterium 311
Lineage: Bacteria; Pseudomonadati; Bacteroidota; Cytophagia; Cytophagales; Flammeovirgaceae
Description: tRNA-Ser
Rfam family: tRNA
About the family: Transfer RNA (tRNA) molecules are approximately 80 nucleotides in length. Their secondary structure includes four short double-helical elements and three loops (D, anti-codon, and T loops).
Source: RNAcentral